RNAcentral lists this ribosomal RNA (478 nucleotides) under uncultured bacterium. RNAcentral describes it as "partial 16S ribosomal RNA". It matches the Rfam family "Bacterial small subunit ribosomal RNA", at positions 28 to 523 of the family's 1533-position model. The record is from RNAcentral.
GACGAACGCUGGCGGCGUGCUUAACACAUGCAAGUCGAACGGUAAGGCCCUUCGGGGUACACGAGUGGCGAACGGGUGAGUAACACGUGGGUAAUCUGCCCUGCACUUCGGGAUAAGCCUGGGAAACUGGGUCUAAUACCGGAUAGGACCACUGCCUGCAUGGGUGGUGGUGGAAAGCUUUCGCGGUGUGGGAUGGGCCCGCGGCCUAUCAGCUUGUUGGUGGGGUGAUGGCCUACCAAGGCGACGGCGGGUAGCCGGCCUGAGAGGGUGACCGGCCACGCUGGGGCUGGGGUACGGCCCAGACUCCUACGGGAGGCAGGAGUGGGGAAUAUUGCACAAUGGGCGCAAGCCUGAUGCAGCGACGCCGCGUGAGGGAUGACGGCCUUCGGGUUGUAAACCUAUUUCAGUAGGGACGAAGCGCAAGUGACGGUACCUACAGAAGAAGGACCGGCCAACUACGUGCCAGCAGCCGCCGCCG